UUACCAGCCAGCCUGCCUGGUUGAUUUCUCCAGAUGUUUUGUGACCUCAUCUCUUAUUAAUGCCUCGAGGACUCUGCCUGCCACCGGGGUCAGAGGUGCUGCCUCCUCGCUGGUCAGCCCCCCAGUCCCUUUCCUAGAGACGGGAGUUUGCCGUCUCUCGUCUGUCAGCGUCUCUCAUUUCCAAAAGAUCCCUUUAAAAACAUCUGUUGUUGGAGGAGCAAUCACUUCCCUCGCCUUGUGAAUGACUACGGACAGAGCGAAGAGCCCUGGCAGGCGUCAGAUCAGCGACCCUGACGUCCUGGAUGAAUCAGGAAAUGGCGUUUAACCCUCCGAGCAGCGUCUUGUCUCGUGCGCUCUUCCCUCCGUGAACUGCUGAACUCCAGGCAGAAAAGUAAAGGGAACGAAGCACACUUGCCCGCAGGAGAACUUGCAGCUGGGCCGCUGGUGUGGCUGGAGUUGCAAUCUGGGGGAUUUUUCCUUUUCGUACCCUUUGAGACGUCACUGGGGAGAGUCUCUUCUUUGCCUGAACCAUUCUGCCUGAAAAUCGCAGCCUGGAGAGAAGCGGCUCCUGGGAUUGGAGGUACAGCCUGGACCAUGCUGGGCUUUGGUCCCUCCACCUGAUCCUCACACACAAAGCUGGAACCCAGCGCAUCCUAAACCUUGAGUUUCUCCUUCCCACCACAAUGUGUGCAUUUUAAAUGAAUAUUUUAGGUUAAAGAGGCAUGCCCUGAGGGACUCUUUGCAAAGGGGAAGUGGGAUUUGAGUAAGCCAGCAACCUCCACACCCAGGGAGACUCCUUCCAGUUACCGGAGACCCUAUUUAGGACGCCAAGACUAUGCUGCUGUCAUCUCCUUGAGUUCUCCAGCAAAACGUCUGUUUCUAGAGGCCAGCAAGGUGUUUGUCAUUUCUACUCGAGUUGUAGUUAGUCAGGAAAAUCACAGGGAAAGGUUUGAACUAAAUAUGCCGGUAGGAAGAAAACCCCCAGGCACUUGGCACUUUGUUUGCAGGAUGGUCCUUCACAAACAGACAAUCUACUGGCCCAAGUGACCUCCUUGCCUGUGGCCUGGGAGGAGAGCUCAUCUCCACCAGGAACUUGGUACCCAGGUCACCGUCCCACAUCAGUCCUCCCAGACCUUGAAAAUGGCCGCCUCCAUCCUAAGUAACAGCGUUUAGGGCGUGCAAGGCAAGAUCUGAAUUACAAUCCCUAAGCCUUCCAAUUUGAAAUUGAAUUUAGGUUAUGGCCAUCAAAAUCUGGCAAAGGAGACCUCUAGGUAAUUCCACCUGUUGAAUAAUUUUUCCCUCCAAAACAGCACUGUCACAAGUAGCGUUGACAGGUUCCCUGGUGACAGCAUGGACGCACGGGGUGACAGGAGGCUGUGGAAUGUUGAGAGUAACAGCGUAGACAACAGGCGAUCGAUGCUUCCGAGGGUGAAGGAGCUCGUCUCUAAUUUUCAAGGGCUGUGCUUUGUUUCCCUGAGGCUAACUAGCUGUGAUGGGCCCACAGGCAAUCACAUUUGCUCUUAAACUUUAGCUAGUCAACAGGAACAGUGUUCCAGGAAUAGGCCCCUUUCAGUGCUGUUAUCCGUAUCCUAAAAAUCCUCAGCAGACACUUCUCCUCUAUCUCUAGAGUGGUUGAAGUUGGAGACAGGUCUAUACCCCCGGUCUGAGGAGCGGGGGACGCCGUGCCCUCAGCCCGCACCCCGCGGUGUGCCUGCCCAGCUCCCCCUCCGCUUUCCUGGCUGCUCCUUUCCCAGGCUGCAUUCAGCUCUGGAAAUUGACAAACGGUUCGACUCCUGCACCUUCUAAACGGGGUCACUUAAGAGCUUUUUACCCGGCCUCUCCUGCACGGACAGAUUGCCAGCUUAACUGCUCUGCCUGGAGUCACUAACAUGCCUUGGAUCUCCUGUCUGAGGGAAGCAAGCCAAACCCAGCAUCUUGCGACUGCAGAGGACACCACCACUUCCCCAGGAAGUGCAGACCCGUGAACCACAGCUGUGAUUCGCUUCCAUCUAUUGUCUGAAUUCCAGUUACCUGACACCUUCAAGUUGGAGCUUUCCUUCUCUCUCUCUAAUCCCAGCAAAACAUGUUUCUGAAGCAAAUGCUGCUUUUUCCUGAGAAUGAAUACUGCAUUUUCCCUAAAACAGGUGAAGGCAAAUGCCCUCUUGUUAUCAAGACGGUGAGGUUCCCACGGAGCCCGGAGGCUCUGGCAUCUGCACCACCAGCCUCGUUCGGCACCAAAUCCAGUUCGUGUUUUCCGUGCUUUUGAGAGAUGCGCUCUCCUCCGUGAUUGUGGCGGUAAUUACGCAAAUGAUCUGCUCCACUGUCACUUCUAGUCAAAGGUGCCACCUAAAAUUAAAAAUUCAUGCAAAAGAUGCAACUUUUAAGCAGCCAGUGGAGACCUGAUCUGAUUUUACAAUCCAUGUUUUACUUAACCCCUUCGCGUCCCUUGGCUGUGGGAGGUGUGGGGCUGCUGGCGACUUCGUGGGCCACUGGGAGAUGCCUAAGUGUGUUCACUCGGGCUACGGCCGCAAAAUCCCACUGGCUGGGCAGCUUAAAUAACAGAAAUUUAUUGUCUCAAAACUCUGGUGGCUGUAAGCCAAGACCAGGCUGUCAGCAGGGUUUUUUUUAUUCCUGAGGUCUCUUUCCUUGGCUUGUGGAUGGCCAUCCUCUCCCUCUGUUUUCACAUGGUCUUCCUGUGUGUGUGUGUCUGCCUCCUAAUUUCUUAUUUUUAUAAGGACUUGGGUCUUAUUGGAUUAAGGCCCACCCUAAUGGCCUCUUUUUAACUUCGUUACUACUAUACAGACUCUGUCUCCAAAUGCAGUCACAUCCUGAGGUUCUGGGUUUAAGAGGCAGAAUUUCGGGGGAAGCAACUCAGCCCAUAAAAGUGUCCCACUCCCCUCUAAGGCAGACCAAGUGGGCAGGUCCAGCCGCCCGGAGGCAUCUCUGUUUCUGGUGGAUCCAGGUUCACAAGACCACCGUUGGAUUCAAGUCACAAGAAAUUCUAUUCCUAACUAUGGUGAAUCAGGGGGCUUCGCUUCUGAAAAAUUUCUUGGACAUCUUAAAUAUUGGGGUUUGCCAAGCCAGGGUGAGGCUAAGAUGCUUACUUUUAUAACAGCAUCUUCCAUUUGUUUGGGCUUUAAGAUAUUGAUGGAUCCAUGCAUGACAGGUGAAGCAUAUUAUUGUUAUUAUUACCAAUUUUAAUUUUGCAAAUAUUUAAAGUAACAUACAGCAAAGUUAAACCCGGGGGGCAAUUAGUGUAUGUCUAUGAGUUUUCACAUAUACGAAGUCAUGUAACCAACACCUCAAUCAGGAUAACACGACAGUUCUAUCACCUUCUCCCCAACCCCCAGAUUUCCUCCUGUUGUCCCAUAGUAGUCAGGUCCUCCACACACCUACUGAUAAGUUCUUAAUCCUUAUAGUUUAACUUUUGUGAGAAUGCCGUAUCCAUGGAACCAUGUCAUAUGUAACUUUUGGAGAAUUGCCUCUUCAACCCAGUGUGAUGCCUUUGACUUUCAACCAUGUUGGAUGUAUCAAUAACUUACUCUUUUUUAUUGCCGAGUAGUAUUCCACUGCAUGAAUGGACCUCAUCUGGUUCAUCCGUUCACCCACUGAAAGUUAAUUUGUGUCAGUCUCAGUUUUCAGUGAUUAGAAAUAAAACUGCUGUAAAUAUCCGCAUAUAGGUUUCAAUGCGAACUUCUGUUUUCCUUUCUUUUGAGAAAAAUCUAGAAGCAAGAUGGCUGGUUCAUAUGCAAGUGUAUAUUAAGCUUUAUAAGAGACUGUCAACCUUUCCAGAGUGGCCAAGCUAUUUUGCACUUAUACCAGCAACGUCUAAGAGUUCUGGGUGCCUUGUAUUAUACAGCACUUGGUAUUGUCAACAUUUUUCUUUCUUUUUUUUUUCUCUACUCUAAUAGGUUUAUAGUUUGUGGGUUUGAUAUGCAUUUCUCUGCUGGCUAAUGAUGUUGCUUAUCCUUUCAUGGGCUUAUUUGCCAUUUGUAUGUUUUCUUUGAUGAAGUGCCGUUUCGAACUCUUUGCCCAUUUCUUGACUGAGUUGCUUGUUUUCUUACCAUCUCAUUCCGAUGGUGCAUCAUGUGUCCUACCUCAGCCUGUGGCUUAGCCUUUAACUCUCUUGUUUGAGUAUUAUCUGAAAGUUCAGCCUAACCUAAAGUCGUGAUUAUUUUUCCAGUGUUUUUUUUUUCUAAAAGCCUUAUAAUUUUGUACUUUAUAUUUAGAGCUGUAAUCUAUAUUGAGUUAGUUUUUGUAUAAUGUAUGGGAUAUAUAUUGAAAUUAAUACUUUUGCAUGUGAAUGUACAACUGUACAUAGAAAGACUAUCCUUUCUCUACUGAAUUGCCUUUGUACCUUGGUCAAAAAUCAAUUGACUUCCCAGGUGGGUUCACUGGUAAAUCCUACGAAACUUUAAAGGAGGAAAUUAUACCAAUCCUCUAUAAUCUUUUCCAGAGGAUAAAGCAGAAGGAAUACUUCCUAACUCAUUCUGAAGCAGCAUUAUCCUAAUACCAAAACCAGGUGAAGACAUUGCAAGAAAAGAAAAUUACAGAGAAGUACCUUUUAUAAAAAUAGAAGCAAAAAUUCUCAACAAAAUAUUAGCAAAUAGAAUCGAAAAAAGUAUAAAAAUAUACACUACAACCAAGUGGGAUUUAUCCCAGGUAUGCGAGGCUGGGUCAGCACGCAGAAUCAUACAUGUAACCCAACAUAUCAACAGGCUGAAAAAGAAAAAUCACAUGAUCAUUCAAUAGACGCAAUAAAAGCAUUUGACAAAAUCCGAUACCCUUUCAUGAUAAAAAUUCUCAGUAAACUAGGAGUAGCGAGGAACCUCCUCAAGCUGAUUAAGAACGUCUACAAAAUCCCUAAGGCUAACGUAAUACUUGAUAGUGAGAAACUUGAAACUUUCCCAAUAAGAUCACAUACUAGGCAAGGAGGUCUCCUCUCACCACUCCCUUUCAACACUGGACUGGAUGUCCUUGUUAAUGCAAUAAAGUAGGAAAAAGGAAUAAAAUGUAUACAUUGUGAGAAGGAAGAAAUAAAAAGGUCUUUGCAGAUGGUGUGACAAUCUAUGCAGAAAAUCCAAAAGAAUUAAUUGAAAAAUAUCCUCCUGGAACUAAUAAGUGAUUAUAGAAAAGCUACAAUUGCUUUCUUACAUACUAGUUAUUAACAGGUAGAAUUUGAAAUUAAAAACACAAUACCAUUUACAUUGGCACUGAAAAACUGAGUAUCUAGUUAUAAAUCUAAUAAGAUAUGUAAAAAAAUGUGAUUAAAACUGCAAAACUGGUGGAUUAAGUCAGAGUUCAAUAAAUGGAAAUAUAUUUCAGGUUCAUGGAUAUGAAGAGUCAAUAUUGUCAAGCUGUCAGUUCUUCCCAACUUGACGUAUCAACUCAAUGCAAUCUCAAAUAAAAUCACAGCAAGAUAUUUUGUGGAUAUUGACAAACUAAAGUUUAUGUGGAGAGGCAAAAGACCCAGAAGAGACAAUCAGUACUGAAGGAGAAGAGCAAAGUUGGUGAACUGACACUUCCUGACUUUAAGACUUGCUGCGAAGUCACAGUAAUCAACACAGUGUGGUAUCGGUGAAAGAACAGACAAAGAUAUCAGUGGAACAGACUAUAAAGCCUCCAGACAGACCCGCACAAAGACAGUCAGCUGGUCUUUGACAAAGGACCAAAAAUGAAAACAUAUGUCCACACAAAAACCUGUGACUGAAUGUUUAAUGCUGCUUUAUUCAUAAUUGCCAAAACCUGGAAGCAAACAACAUGUCCUUUAGUAGGUGAAUGGAUAAAUAAGCCGGGGCACACCCAGACAACAGAAAACUAUUCAGUGAAAACAAAUGAGCUAUCUAGCCAUGAAAAGACAUAGAGGAAAUCUUACAUGCAUAUUCUUAAGUGAGAGAAGUCAAUCCGAAAAGGCUGUUUACUGUAUGAUUUCAACAAUAUGAUAUUCUGGAAAAGGCAAAGUCCUACAGACAGUAAAAAGAUCAGUGGUUGCCAGGGGAUUGAGGUUGGGGAGAUGAAGAGGCAGAGCAGGGAGGAUUUUAAGGCAGUGAAAAUACUCUGUAUGAUAUUAUAAUGAUGGAUACAUGUCAUCACAUAUUUGUCUGAACCGUAGACUAUACAACACCAAGAAUGAAUCGUGAGGUAAACUGUAGAAUUUAGGUGAUCGUGGUGUGCCAGUGUAGGUUCAUCCUUCGUUAAAAGCUGUCCCAGUCGGUGGUUGAUGAUGGGGAAGGUUGUGUGUGUGGUGGGGGAGCAGGGCAAGAGGUAUAUAGGAAAUCUCUGUAUUCCUUCUCAAUUUUGGUGUAAACCUAAAACUGUUCUAAAAAAAAUAAAGUCUUUAAAAAGUC
This is a long non-coding RNA of Camelus dromedarius (Arabian camel), 6347 nucleotides long. RefSeq lists it as uncharacterized. The transcript has 2 exons. NCBI's taxonomy places the organism in Eukaryota, Metazoa, Chordata, Mammalia, Artiodactyla, Camelidae. The record is from RefSeq and is a predicted model, not a curated record.